RNAcentral lists this ribosomal RNA (253 nucleotides) under uncultured bacterium. RNAcentral's name for it is "partial 16S ribosomal RNA". It matches the Rfam family "Bacterial small subunit ribosomal RNA", at positions 524 to 776 of the family's 1533-position model. RNAcentral also lists the same sequence under 1 other name. The record is from RNAcentral.
UACAGAGGUGGCAAGCGUUGUUCGGAAUUACUGGGCGUAAAGGGCGCGUAGGCGGUCCCGUCAGUCCCUUGUGAAAUCCCCCGGCUCAACUGGGGAACUGCAAGGGAUACAGCGGGGCUUGAGUUCGGGAGAGGGAAGCGGAAUUCCGGGUGUAGCGGUGAAAUGCGUAGAUAUCCGGAGGAACACCGGUGGCGAAGGCGGCUUCCUGGACCGAUACUGACGCUGAGGCGCGAAAGCUAGGGGAGCAAACGGG